GGUGUGUAGGCGGUUCUCCAAGUUCGGUGUGAAAUCUCCCGGCUCAACCGGGAGGGUGCGCCGAAAACUGGGGGGCUAGAGUGCGGGAGAGGAGAGUGGAAUUCCUGGUGUAGCGGUGAAAUGCGUAGAUAUCAGGAGGAACACCGGUGGUGUAGACGGCUCUCUGGACCGUAACUGACGCUGAGACACGAAAGCGUGGGUAGCAAACAGGAUUAGAUACCCUGGUAGUCCACGCCCUAAACGAUGCAUAUUUGGUGUGGGCCGUUCAGUCGGUCCGUGCCGGAGCUAACGCGUUAAAUAUGCCGCCUGGGGAGUACAGUCGCAAGGCUGAAACUCAAAGGAAUUGACGGGGGCCCGCACAAGCGGUGGAGCAUGUGGUUCAAUUCGACGCAACGCGAAGAACCUUACCUGGGCUCGAACGGCUGGCCAACGAUCGUGGAAACACGGUUACCCCGCAAGGGGGUCCAGUCGAGGUGCUGCAUGGCUGUCGUCAGCUCGUGUCGUGAGAUGUUGGGUUAAGUCCCGCAACGAGCGCAACCCUCGUCCUGUGUUGCUCAAUCCGCAAGGAUCGCACUCGCAGGAGACCGCCAGCGAUAAGUUGGAGGAAGGUGGGGAUGA
RNAcentral lists this ribosomal RNA (618 nucleotides) under uncultured bacterium. Its description in RNAcentral is "bacterial SSU rRNA". It matches the Rfam family "Bacterial small subunit ribosomal RNA", at positions 566 to 1182 of the family's 1533-position model. The record is from RNAcentral.